GAUGAACGCUGGCGGCGUGCUUAACACAUGCAAGUCGAACGGGAAUUACUUUAUUGAAACUUCGGUCGAUUUAAUUUAAUUCUAGUGGCGGACGGGUGAGUAACGCGUGGGUAACCUGCCUUAUACAGGGGGAUAACAGUCAGAAAUGACUGCUAAUACCGCAUAAGCGCACAGAGCUGCAUGGCUCAGUGUGAAAAACUCCGGUGGUAUAAGAUGGACCCGCGUUGGAUUAGCUGGUUGGUGAGGUAACGGCCCACCAAGGCGACGAUCCAUAGCCGGCCUGAGAGGGUGAACGGCCACAUUGGGACUGAGACACGGCCCAGACUCCUACGGGAGGCAGCAGUGGGGAAUAUUGCACAAUGGGGGAAACCCUGAUGCAGCGACGCCGCGUGAAGGAAGAAGUAUCUCGGUAUGUAAACUUCUAUCAGCAGGGAAGAGAUUGACGGUACCUGACUAAGAAGCCCCGGCUAACUUCGUGCCAGCAGCCGCCGUAA
Molecule: ribosomal RNA, 494 nt
Filed under: uncultured bacterium
Lineage: Bacteria
Description: partial 16S ribosomal RNA
Rfam family: Bacterial small subunit ribosomal RNA
Source: RNAcentral